UGUUGUCAGUGUUGGACAGAGCCAGGCUAGCUCUUUUCCCUCUUUAAGUUUUCAGUCUUGACGCUAACUAAGCUAGGCUGCAGCUUAUCCUAAAUAUAUUUAAUGGAAGAACAUGGGAGUGGUAGGCUAUCAGACUUCUCAUCUCUCAGCAGGGAAGCAUUAGUGUAUUUUCCAAAAUGCGGAACUAUUUAUUAAACCUCAGCCCACUGACUUACACUGAUCCAACACAGAUGAAAAGUUGUGCCGGUAUUUUAUUCAAGCCAAGAGGUGAAUCGACACAACUGCCAUCCGGUAUGAAGAAGCAACCACAGGAACCAGCCCAAAAUCAGCAGGUGCAGUCUGAGCUCCUGGCCCUCAGCUGAGAUCUGAACCACUGCCUCUGACGGAUGCUACAAGGACAAAAAUAAGAUCGGGUAAAUGAAAGCUGACAUAUUUUAUCAUAUUCUUUAAAUCAUUUUGACUC
This is a long non-coding RNA of Acanthopagrus latus (yellowfin seabream), 463 nucleotides long. RefSeq lists it as uncharacterized. The transcript has 3 exons. The record is from RefSeq and is a predicted model, not a curated record. Lineage: Eukaryota; Metazoa; Chordata; Actinopteri; Spariformes; Sparidae.